This 254-nucleotide ribosomal RNA is filed under the name uncultured bacterium. Its description in RNAcentral is "partial 16S ribosomal RNA". It matches the Rfam family "Bacterial small subunit ribosomal RNA", at positions 524 to 776 of the family's 1533-position model. The record is from RNAcentral.
UACGAAGGGUGCAAGCGUUAAUCGGAAUUACUGGGCGUAAAGGGCUCGUAGGCGGCCAACUAAGUCAGACGUGAAAUCCCUCGGCUUAACCGGGGAACUGCAUCUGAUACUGGAUGGCUUGAGUUUGGGAGAGGGAUGCGGAAUUCCAGGUGUAGCGGUGAAAUGCGUAGAUAUUGGGAAGAACACCGGUGGCGAAGGCGGCGACCUGGUCCUUUUACUGACGCUGAGGCGCGAAAGCGUGGGGAGCAAACAGG